CCGCUACGAGAUGGGCCCGCGUCCCAUUAGCUAGUUGGCGAGGUAACGGCUCACCAAGGCUACGAUGGGUAGCUGGUCUGAGAGGACGAUCAGCCACACUGGGACUGAGACACGGCCCAG
This 120-nucleotide ribosomal RNA is filed under the name uncultured bacterium. RNAcentral describes it as "partial 16S ribosomal RNA". It matches the Rfam family "Bacterial small subunit ribosomal RNA", at positions 215 to 334 of the family's 1533-position model. The record is from RNAcentral.